GGUUGGGUCGGAUAUUUUAUGAUGAAGCUCGAUUCGUGAUUUUUCUUGCGUUAUUUCAUCCUGACACAUCUUCCUUGAAAUUAUGCAACAGGAAUGAUGAAAUGUUCCUCCUUGUGUAUGACACUCCUCUUUGGGUGUGUGUCUUUGCCAUGCUCUCAUUCUGGCUAGAAUUACCUGUACGCAACACAACUUUGCUCUUAAGCAAUUUUUCCUUUGCUCAUUAUAUUCAGUGGAUAAAAAUAUCAGGUCAAUCAGGUCUAUAAUAGUCUCAGUAAUGAAGUGGAAGGACUGCCAACACUCAAAGUAUUUCCAGGGCCUGUUCCUACAUGAAGAUAUCUACUGUCUCAUCUACAAGAUUGGCUUAAUGAGCCUUAAAGGUAAAUUUAUUUAGAGGGGAAUCCAGCCAACCUUCGACCUCCAGCAGUCCUCAUCUUCAUUAAUUUGUUGUAAUGUGGAUCUCGAGUCUCUUUGAAGAGUUAAUUGAAACUAAAAGCAAUAAAAAUAAACUUUGCUCAUGUACUUAGGGUCUUAAAUCAGAGAACAGUCUCUUUGGUGCGAUGAUAACCUUGAACACGUUGAAGUGUUGUGUUGAUUUGUAAUCAAUAUCAACAGAGUUUCUGCUGCUCAGCACAGACUUUAACACAAACCUUAUUGUGCUGUUGUGCUUCACAACCAUAAAAGCUCCCGUGGGUCUUUCUGCCUCCAGCUUUCACUCAACACUCUUGGCUGUUUUAGAACUAUUUAUUUUAUUUUAUUUUUUUACAAUUUUUCCCUCCUUUUUUGAUUGCCUUUUAACAAGCCUGCACAACAGUUUUCACGUGUCCAGAUGAUUUUGAUAUUUCUAAAUCUUCUACAAUACAAGAGGAAGUGGAAAAGGAAGAGCCUAGAAGUUGAACUUUUGUCUUAAACUAGCGUCAAACAAAAAGCAGACCUUGUACCGAAAUUUUAAUUUCCUAUGGGGUAAAAUGAAAAGCUAGCUUUUGUAAACACAGACAGAUUUGAACAGCUGAGAUUAAGAACACAGAUUUUCAAAAUGGCAGGAUUUUUGUCACACGAGCCUCCACCAGGAGUUAGAAAAAGAAACAGGAUCAAGACUGGAUGUUUUCUUUAAAGCUCUUGGGUGUCUGUUUGGGCUGUGGCUUUUACCAACUCAAUUUUUAAUAUUUCUGUCGCAGUGUUAGCCUGUCAGAACGCACAUAAAGUAGGGUGACCAUAUUCUGAAUCCCCCAAAAAAGGACACUACUACACGGGGCGGGUCGCACGCAAAAUUUUUAGGGUUGAGUCGAGUGUUUUUUACACGCUUGUAUCUUAGUUAGUCCACGCUACACAAACUCAAAACUUCCAUACAAACCCCAGACAUUUGAAAGUAGGCCGGACAGCCCCCCCCAAAAGAAAACAUGUCUGGAUAAAAGAGGACGUAUGGUCACCCUAUAUACAGACCACCCAACACAAAAAAGACACUGAAGGGGAGCUAGUAUGUUAGUAUGGAGGGGGGAUUGGACUUCAAAAUGGGGUCAAACAAUGCUGAACUGUCACUAAGUAGUUAGAGCUUCAUUAGAGCAUCAAGUAAUGUUAAAGCGAUAACUCUAACCUGCAUCACUUUUUAUCGUUCUGCCUCACUAAGUAGUCAUAAUACCUCCACCUAACCAAACAUGGAAUAUUUCACAGCUGUAAAUACAUGACAGGAAACACUAGAGCUACGGAAGUUAAAGUGUAAGUGACCCAGGAUAAAAAAGAGUUGGAUUUCAAAGUACAAACAUGUUAAACCAUGCCGAAUAAGCACAUUUUGACUUCUCUUGCUUUAGAGACAUCAGACAUAUCUUUGUGAUACAGUUCAGAGUUCAGAGGUCUUGACUUUCAUGGUGGUUGACAGUCUAUAGUGCAGUGGGAGAUGGAAAUCAUACAAACACCUGGACCGACGAUGAAAGCUUUAGAGUAAGUUCCAUUGGAAUAAGCUCUGAAACUCAUAACCAGCAUGAGAAUGAUGAAACACAGGGCUGAACACAGCGAGGAGGAAUGAUCGAAUAUGAUAAAAUCAGGAGACACAUCAGAUAAGAGUGCGGGCGAAGUUAUACAUGUGCUUUAUAUGAAUGAGCUUGCACAGAAACCAGUACAGUGUGUGUGUGUGUGUGUUAGCAGGUGGCAUGUGUGUGGGCUUUCAGUUUGACUUUUCAUUAUUUAAAAUGGAUGUAAAGCAGAAACAUUCCCUUCCUAUGUGGUCUGUAUCACUCAACACACUGGAAAUUAUACCCAACUAUAUGUCUACAUUUUUAAAGCCAUGAAUGUGUGUGUGUGUGUGAGGAAGUGUGUGUACGUGUGUUGGCUGAAAUAUCUCUCAGGAUCUAGGUUGACGUUUGUUUAUAAGUAUGAGAUAUGUCUGAAUGAGCAUGCAGGCAUUGUGGAGCCUGAGGCUUAUGCUGUACGUGUGCAUGUGUCGGUCUCUGUAUAACUUUGCUCCAUCGCAUCCUGGGAGACGCGGCGUGUCGAAGCAGCUUUGAAAUCCGGCCAAAAAAAAAUUAGAGGAAAAGAAAUUCAACAGUUUUUUUUUUUUUUUUUUUUUCAAAUUCAGCCACAGUGAAAACAUCAUUAGUCAUCCAGACAUUGGUGCACAUUAAACAUCUCUCUGGGUGAGGCUGGUAGAGAAGCCAUCAUUCUUUUAGACUUUUUCCUCCAUAAAUGUUAUGACAACCUAAAUCGUUUUUCACAUUUUUUACCCUGUAAAGAGUUUUAAAUCAUCCAGCUUGGGGAAGGUAAUCAGUUGGUUGAAGUUUUUGAUCAAAUGCCAGCUCAUACAACAGUUUUGACCUUUUGGGCCACCUUCACCUGUCCUGCCUCUUCACCUGUCCUACUUCGGCCACACCUCCUUAGCUUUCUCCUUUCCGUACCUUUUUGCAGUCUCCUUCAUCUCAUCUUUUUUUUUGUUCCAGCUCCAGCCUCAUAUUCUCAGAGCAGCCAUUUGUCUGUCACAACUUUCUCGUGGUAAAUACUGUCAAACCAACAGGUUUUAGCCUGCAGGUGAAUGUAAAUCACUUCAGGAAACCUAAUACAUGUUCGUGCCUUUAUUGCUACAAGCUGAAAGUAGACUACACUAUGCAUACCUGGCACAGAUGUACCUGUGAUCAGACGAAUGUUAAACUGUUAAAGGGAUAUUCUGGUAUUAAAUUAAGUUAGGGUCAAACACACCGUAACACCGAAUUAGACACCUGGUCGAGAGAUGAAUGCUGCCGACUGCUUGCUUUUCUAGUUAUACUUAAUAAACUUAAUUUUACGCCGGAAUAUCCCUUUUAAAUUGUGCUCAAUUUUGACUCUUUCCUAAAUAUUUUCUUACUCAUGGAUUUUACACCUGCAGCAUGACGUCAGAUGAAAAUAGCUUUUUUCAUUUUCAUUGUACCUUUGUCCUCGCUUGUUAUCACCUCAAACCAUUCCUCAAUCCUCCCUCUAUACCUCUCCCUAAAUUUUAAACUCUGCUGCUCCCUCCUUCUUCAAACCACACU
This is a non-coding RNA of Xyrichtys novacula (pearly razorfish), 3494 nucleotides long. NCBI's taxonomy places the organism in Eukaryota, Metazoa, Chordata, Actinopteri, Labriformes, Labridae. The record is from the annotation of a GenBank genome assembly.